UACGGAGGAUCCAAGCGUUAUCCGGAUUUAUUGGGUUUAAAGGGUGCGUAGGCGGCCUAUUAAGUCAGGGGUGAAAGACGGUAGCUUAACUAUCGCAGUGCCUUUGAUACUGAUGGGCUUGAAUAUACUUGAGGUAGGCGGAAUGUGACAAGUAGCGGUGAAAUGCAUAGAUAUGUCACAGAACACCAAUUGAGAAGGCAGCUUACUAAAGUAUGAUUGAAGAGGAGGAACGAAAGCGUGGGGAUCAAACAGG
Molecule: ribosomal RNA, 253 nt
Filed under: uncultured bacterium
Lineage: Bacteria
Description: partial 16S ribosomal RNA
Rfam family: Bacterial small subunit ribosomal RNA
Source: RNAcentral